This is a non-coding RNA of Pelobates cultripes (western spadefoot toad), 204 nucleotides long. The record is from the annotation of a GenBank genome assembly. NCBI's taxonomy places the organism in Eukaryota, Metazoa, Chordata, Amphibia, Anura, Pelobatidae.
AUAGCUUGCAUUUAAAAACAAAAUACUUUUUUCCCUGUUAUAGAUUGAAUAGCAGUUAGUUAUCUUCAAGCGGGUGUGUCAGCCCUACAGCGUGUACUCUGCCAGUUUACAGUGCCACUCAUAUCUGGUGUCAUAAUAGCUUGCAUUUAAAAACAAAAUACUUUUUUCACUGUUAUAGAUUGAAUAGCAGUUAGUUGUCUGCCA